CGGCGAGUGAAGCGGCAACAGCUCAAAUUUGAAAGCUGGCCCCCCCCGGGGGUCCGCGUUGUAAUUUGUAGAGGAUGAUUCGGCGAGGGCUCCCGCCUAAGUCCCCUGGAACGGGGCGUCAUAGAGGGUGAGAAUCCCGUAUGCGGUGGGCUGCCUUAGCCAUGUGAAUCUCCUUCGACGAGUCGAGUUGUUUGGGAAUGCAGCUCUAAAUGGGAGGUAAAUUUCUUCUAAAGCUAAAUACCGGCCAGAGACCGAUAGCGCACAAGUAGAGUGAUCGAAAGAUGAAAAGCACUUUGGAAAGAGAGUUAAAAAGUACGUGAAAUUGUUGAAAGGGAAGCGCUUGCAGCCAGACUUGCCCGCAGUUGCUCAGCCGGUCUCCUGACCGGCGCACUCUUCUGCGGCCAGGCCAGCAUCAGUUCGGGCGGUCGGAUAAAGGCCCCGGGAACGUAGCUCCUCUCGGGGAGUGUUAUAGCCCGGGGUGGAAUGCGGCCAGCCUGGACUGAGGAUCUCGCU
RNAcentral lists this ribosomal RNA (513 nucleotides) under Neoscytalidium dimidiatum. RNAcentral describes it as "partial 28S ribosomal RNA". It matches the Rfam family "Eukaryotic large subunit ribosomal RNA", at positions 87 to 601 of the family's 3401-position model. The record is from RNAcentral. Lineage: Eukaryota; Fungi; Ascomycota; Dothideomycetes; Botryosphaeriales; Botryosphaeriaceae.